GUAACAAUUUAUUUUGUUCUGACGAAAAAGGGAGAUGGAAAGUCAGUGCCAAAUGCAUAUCAAUCCUUGGUCGAGCUUAUUUAUGAUUUAGUGCUGAACCUGAUAAACAAACAAAUAGGUGGUCUUUUCGGAAAGUGGAACAAAAGUUUUUCCCUAGUAUCUUGGUCACUUUUACUUUUUCGUUAUUCCGUAAUCCUCUGCAGUAUAUGA
RNAcentral lists this ribosomal RNA (210 nucleotides) under Triticum aestivum (bread wheat). Its description in RNAcentral is "partial small subunit ribosomal RNA". The record is from RNAcentral. Lineage: Eukaryota; Viridiplantae; Streptophyta; Magnoliopsida; Poales; Poaceae.